UGGGGAAUUUUGGACAAUGGGCGAAAGCCUGAUCCAGCAAUGCCGCGUGUGUGAAGAAGGCCUUCGGGUUGUAAAGCACUUUUGUCCGGAAAGAAAUGGCUCUGGUUAAUACCUGGGGUCGAUGACGGUACCGGAAGAAUAAGGACCGGCUAACUACGUGCCAGCAGCCGCGGUAAUACGUAGGGUCCAAGCGUUAAUCGGAAUUACUUGGCGUAAAGCGUGCGCAGGCGGUUGUGCAAGACCGAUGUGAAAUCCCCGAGCUUAACUUGGGAAUUGCAUUGGUGACUGCACGGCUAGAGUGUGUCAGAGGGGGGUAGAAUUCCACGUGUAACAGUGAAAUGCGUAGAGAUGUGGAGGAAUACCGAUGGCGAAGGCAGCCCCCUGGGAUAACACUGACGCUCAUGCACGAAAGCGUGGGGAGCAAACAGG
RNAcentral lists this ribosomal RNA (429 nucleotides) under Bacillota bacterium. RNAcentral describes it as "Firmicutes bacterium partial 16S ribosomal RNA". It matches the Rfam family "Bacterial small subunit ribosomal RNA", at positions 355 to 776 of the family's 1533-position model. Lineage: Bacteria; Bacillati; Bacillota. The record is from RNAcentral.